UACGCAGGGUGCAGGCGUUAAUCGGAAUUACUGGGCGUAAAGCGUGCGCAGGCGGUUUGCUAAGAGAGAUGUGAAAUCCCCGGGCUUAACCUGGGAACUGCGUUUCUAACUGGCAGGCUUGAGUGUGGCAGAGGGGGGUGGAAUUCCACGUGUAGCAGUGAAAUGCGUAGAGAUGUGGAGGAACACCGAUGGCGAAGGCAGCCCCCUGGGCUAACACUGACGCUCAUGCACGAAAGCGUGGGGAGCAAACAGG
Molecule: ribosomal RNA, 253 nt
Filed under: uncultured bacterium
Lineage: Bacteria
Description: partial 16S ribosomal RNA
Rfam family: Bacterial small subunit ribosomal RNA
Source: RNAcentral